RNAcentral lists this unclassified non-coding RNA (267 nucleotides) under uncultured fungus. RNAcentral's name for it is "partial contains 5.8S ribosomal RNA, internal transcribed spacer 2, and large subunit ribosomal RNA". The record is from RNAcentral. Lineage: Eukaryota; Fungi.
AACGCACAUUGCGCCCAUUGGUAUUCCUUUGGGCAUGUCUGUUUGAGCGUCAUUACAACCCUCAGCCAACCGCUGGUUCUGAACCGGGACGGGGUCACACCAGCACCGGUUUUAAAGUUGUAAGCUCUGCUGGUCGCCCUGCCCAACCGGAACAUAGUAAGCAACUACUCUUGUUCGUAGGUGAAGCGGAAGCGGUACGGCCUGAACAAAACCUACCCAUCUCUAAGGUUUGACCUCAGAUCAGACAAGGAUACCCGCUGAACUUAA